This 253-nucleotide ribosomal RNA is filed under the name uncultured bacterium. RNAcentral's name for it is "partial 16S ribosomal RNA". It matches the Rfam family "Bacterial small subunit ribosomal RNA", at positions 524 to 776 of the family's 1533-position model. The record is from RNAcentral.
UACAGAGGUCUCAAGCGUUGUUCGGAUUCAUUGCGCGUAAAGGGUGCGUAGGCGGCGCGGUAAGUCGGGUGUGAAAUCUCGGAGCUUAACUCCGAAACUGCAUUCGAUACUGCCGUGCUUGAGGACUGGAGAGGAGACUGGAAUUUACGGUGUAGCGGUGAAAUGCGUAGAUAUCGUAAGGAAGACCAGUGGCGAAGGCGGGUCUCUGGACAGUUCCUGACGCUGAGGCACGAAGGUCAGGGGAGCAAACGGG